GAGUUUGAUCUUGGCUCAGAUUGAACGCUGGCGGCAUGCCUUACACAUGCGAGUCGAACGGCAGCACGGGAGCUUGCUCCUGGUGGCGAGUGGCGAACGGGUGAGUAAUGCAUCGGAACGUAUCCUGGAGUGGGGGAUAACGUAGCGAAAGUUACGCUAAUACCGCAUAUUCUGUGAGCAGGAAAGCGGGGGACCUUCGGGCCUCGCGCUCUUGGAGCGGCCGAUGUCGGAUUAGCUAGUUGGUGAGGUAAAGGCUCACCAAGGCGACGAUCCGUAGCAGGUCUGAGAGGAUGAUCUGCCACACUGGAACUGAGACACGGUCCAGACUCCUACGGAGGCAGCAGUGGGAAUUUUGGACAAUGGGGA
This 366-nucleotide ribosomal RNA is filed under the name bacterium enrichment culture clone ALO1_GLFRUDD03G4TAA. RNAcentral describes it as "bacterial SSU rRNA". It matches the Rfam family "Bacterial small subunit ribosomal RNA", at positions 9 to 377 of the family's 1533-position model. The record is from RNAcentral.